RNAcentral lists this unclassified non-coding RNA (429 nucleotides) under soil metagenome. Its description in RNAcentral is "partial contains 5.8S ribosomal RNA, internal transcribed spacer 2, and large subunit ribosomal RNA". The stretch from base 4 to 119 matches the Rfam family "5.8S ribosomal RNA", at positions 39 to 154 of the family's 154-position model. The record is from RNAcentral.
GAUAAGAACGCAGCGAAAUGCGAUAAGUAGUGUGAAUUGCAGAAUUCAGUGAAUCAUCGAAUCUUUGAACGCAUAUUGCGCUCUCUGGUAUUCCGGAGAGCAUGCUUGUUUGAGUAUCAGUAAACACCUCAACUCCCUUUUCUUUUUUGAAAUUGGAGCUGGACUUGAGUGAUCCCAACGCUUUCUUCCAAGAAAGUGGCGGGUUGCUUGAAAUGCAGGUGCAGCUGAACUUUUCUCUGAGCUAUAAGCAUAUCUAUUUAGUCUGCCUAAAAAACAGAUUAUUACCUUUGCUGCAGCUAACAUAAAGGAGACUAGUUCUUGUGCUGACUGAUGCAGGAUUCACAGAGACAGCUUCGGCUGACUUUGUAAACUCGAUCUCAAAUCAAGUAAGACUACCCGCUGAACUUAAGCAUAUCAAUAAGCGGAGGA